UACGUAGGGAGCAAGCGUUAUCCGGAUUUAUUGGGUGUAAAGGGUGCGUAGACGGAGAAGCAAGUUAGUUGUGAAAUCCCUCGGCUUAACUGAGGAACUGCAACUAAAACUACUUCCCUUGAGUACUGGAGAGGAAAGUGGAAUUCCUAGUGUAGCGGUGAAAUGCGUAGAUAUUAGGAGGAACACCAGUGGCGAAGGCGACUUUCUGGACAGUAACUGACGUUGAGGCACGAAAGUGUGGGGAGCAAACAGG
RNAcentral lists this ribosomal RNA (253 nucleotides) under uncultured bacterium. RNAcentral describes it as "partial 16S ribosomal RNA". It matches the Rfam family "Bacterial small subunit ribosomal RNA", at positions 524 to 776 of the family's 1533-position model. The record is from RNAcentral.